GAUGAAGAACGUAGCGAAAUGCGAUAAGUAAUGUGAAUUGCAGAAUUCAGUGAAUCAUCGAAUCUUUGAACGCACCUUGCGCCCCUUGGUUAUUCCAAAGGGCAUGCCUGUUUGAGUAUCAUGAACACCUCAACUCUUGUGGUUUCCCACAAUGAGCUUGGACUGUGGAGGUUUUGUUGGCCCUGUGGACAGCUCCUCUCAAAUGGAUCAGCUUACCGGUGUUUGGUGGCAUUACGGGUGUGAUAACUAUCUACGCUCGUGGUCGUCUCCAAAUAACCUCCAGUGAUGGAGGUUCGCUGGAGCUUAUAAAUGUCUCUCCCCAGUGAAGACAGCCUUUGAACGUUCGAUCUCAAAUCAGGUAGGACUACCCGCUGAACUUAAGCAUAUCAAUAAGCGGAGGA
This 401-nucleotide unclassified non-coding RNA is filed under the name soil metagenome. RNAcentral's name for it is "partial contains 5.8S ribosomal RNA, internal transcribed spacer 2, and large subunit ribosomal RNA". The stretch from base 1 to 121 matches the Rfam family "5.8S ribosomal RNA", at positions 35 to 154 of the family's 154-position model. The record is from RNAcentral.